UACAGAGGUGCCGAGCGUUAGGCGGAAUCACUGGGCUUAAAGCGUGUGUAGGCGGGUUGGUAAGUGUCUUGUGAAAUCCCCCGGCUCAACCGGGGAAUGGCUGGGCAUACUGGCGAUCUUGAGCAGUCUAGGGGCAGAUGGAACAAGUGGUGGAGCGGUGAAAUGCGUAGAUAUCACUUGGAACGCCAACGGUGAAGACAGUCUGCUGGGGACUUGCUGACGCUGAGACACGAAAGCCAGGGGAGCGAACAGG
This 253-nucleotide ribosomal RNA is filed under the name uncultured bacterium. RNAcentral's name for it is "partial 16S ribosomal RNA". It matches the Rfam family "Bacterial small subunit ribosomal RNA", at positions 524 to 776 of the family's 1533-position model. The record is from RNAcentral.